GACGAACGCUGGCGGCAUGCCUAACACAUGCAAGUCGAACGAGACCCCGACUUCGGUUGGACGUCUAGUGGCGCACGGGUGCGUAACGCGUGGGAAUCUGCCCUUGGGUUCGGAAUAACAGUUAGAAAUGACUGCUAAUACCGGAUGAUGUCUUCGGACCAAAGAUUUAUCGCCCAAGGAUGAGCCCGCGUAAGAUUAGCUAGUUGGUGGGGCAAUGGCCUACCAAGGCGACGAUCUUUAGCUGGUCUGAGAGGAUGAUCAGCCACACUGGGACUGAGACACGGCCCAGACUCCUACGGGAGGCAGCAGUGGGGAAUAUUGGACAAUGGGCGAAAGCCUGAUCCAGCAAUGCCGCGUGAGUGAUGAAGGCCUUAGGGUUGUAAAGCUCUUUUACCAGGGAUGGAUAAUGACAGUACCUGGGAGAAUAAGCUCCGGCUAGCUCCGUGCCAGCCGCCGCAGUAAC
This 463-nucleotide ribosomal RNA is filed under the name uncultured bacterium. Its description in RNAcentral is "bacterial SSU rRNA". It matches the Rfam family "Bacterial small subunit ribosomal RNA", at positions 28 to 524 of the family's 1533-position model. The record is from RNAcentral.